This 623-nucleotide ribosomal RNA is filed under the name Salmonella enterica subsp. enterica serovar Enteritidis. RNAcentral describes it as "partial 23S ribosomal RNA". It matches the Rfam family "Bacterial large subunit ribosomal RNA", at positions 583 to 1209 of the family's 2925-position model. Lineage: Bacteria; Pseudomonadati; Pseudomonadota; Gammaproteobacteria; Enterobacterales; Enterobacteriaceae. The record is from RNAcentral.
CUUUGGGUGUGACUGCGUACCUUUUGUAUAAUGGGUCAGCGACUUAUAUUCUGUAGCAAGGUUAACCGAAUAGGGGAGCCGGAGGGAAACCGAGUCUUAACCGGGCGUUAAGUUGCAGGGUAUAGACCCGAAACCCGGUGAUCUAGCCAUGGGCAGGUUGAAGGUUGGGUAACACUAACUGGAGGACCGAACCGACUAAUGUUGAAAAAUUAGCGGAUGACCUGUGGCUGGGGGUGAAAGGCCAAUCAAACCGGGAGAUAGCUGGUUCUCCCCGAAAGCUAUUUAGGUAGCGCCUCGUGAAUUCAUCUCCGGGGGUAGAGCACUGUUUCGGCUAGGGGGCCAUCCCGGCUUACCAACCCGAUGCAAACUGCGAAUACCGGAGAAUGUUAUCACGGGAGACACACGGCGGGUGCUAACGUCCGUCGUGAAGAGGGAAACAACCCAGACCGCCAGCUAAGGUCCCAAAGUCAUGGUUAAGUGGGAAACGAUGUGGGAAGGCCCAGACAGCCAGGAUGUUGGCUUAGAAGCAGCCAUCAUUUAAAGAAAGCGUAAUAGCUCACUGGUCGAGUCGGCCUGCGCGGAAGAUGUAACGGGGCUAAACCAUGCACCGAAGCUGCGGCAGC